Picea glauca (white spruce) is the source of this 121-nucleotide non-coding RNA. The record is from Rfam. NCBI's taxonomy places the organism in Eukaryota, Viridiplantae, Streptophyta, Pinopsida, Pinales, Pinaceae.
ACAUGCCUACAACAUAUCGUUAAUGCAUCAGAUCCCAGUAGAAAUUCACAGUUAAGAAUGCUCGAGAUAGAGUAGUAUUGGGAGGGGUGACCACCUGGGAAGUCCAAGUAUUUUACAUGCC